GACGAACGCUGGCGGCGUGCCUAAUACAUGCAAGUAGAACGCUGAAGAGAGGAGCUUGCUCUUCUUGGAUGAGUUGCGAACGGGUGAGUAACGCGUAGGUAACCUGCCUGGUAGCGGGGGAUAACUAUUGGAAACGAUAGCUAAUACCGCAUAAUAGUAGAUGUUGCAUGACAUUUGCUUAAAAGGUGCAAUUGCAUCACUACCAGAUGGACCUGCGUUGUAUUAGCUAGUUGGUGAGGUAACGGCUCACCAAGGCAACGAUACAUAGCCGACCUGAGAGGGUGAUCGGCCACACUGGGACUGAGACACGGCCCAGACUCCUACGGGAGGCAGCAGUAGGGAAUCUUCGGCAAUGGACGGAAGUCUGACCGAGCAACGCCGCGUGAGUGAAGAGGGUUUUCGGAUCGUAAAGCUCUGUUGUAAGAGAAGAACGAGUGUGAGAGUGGAAAGUUCACACUGUGACGGUAUCUUACCAGAAAGGGACGGCUAACUACGUGC
Molecule: ribosomal RNA, 498 nt
Filed under: uncultured Streptococcus sp.
Lineage: Bacteria; Bacillati; Bacillota; Bacilli; Lactobacillales; Streptococcaceae
Description: bacterial SSU rRNA
Rfam family: Bacterial small subunit ribosomal RNA
Source: RNAcentral